UUUGUGGUCGGUGUACAGGUGGUGCAUGGUUGUCGUCAGCUCGUGUCGUGAGAUGUUGGGUUAAGUCCCGCAACGAGCGCAACCCUCGUCCUAUGUUGCCAGCGGGUCAUGCCGGGACUCAUGGGAGACUGCCGGGGUCAACUCGGAGGAAGUGGGGAUGACGUCAAAUCAUCAUGCCCCUUAUGUCUUGGGCUUCACGCAUGCUACAAUGGCCGGUACAAAGGGCUGCGAUACCGCGAGGUGGAGCGAAUCCCAGAAAGCCGGUCUCAGUUCGGAUUGGGGUCUGCAACUCGACCCCAUGAAGUCGGAGUCGCUAGUAAUCGCAGAUCAGCAACGCUGCGGUGAAUACGUUCCCGGGCCUU
This 362-nucleotide ribosomal RNA is filed under the name uncultured Cellulomonas sp. Its description in RNAcentral is "bacterial SSU rRNA". It matches the Rfam family "Bacterial small subunit ribosomal RNA", at positions 1020 to 1382 of the family's 1533-position model. Lineage: Bacteria; Bacillati; Actinomycetota; Actinomycetes; Micrococcales; Cellulomonadaceae. The record is from RNAcentral.